UCUCCCGCGAGGGGGAAUCUGAAGGCAGCCCGAGGCAAAACGCUGGCCUGACGAACAGGAA
This 61-nucleotide non-coding RNA is filed under the name Halomonas fontilapidosi. Lineage: Bacteria; Pseudomonadati; Pseudomonadota; Gammaproteobacteria; Oceanospirillales; Halomonadaceae. The record is from RNAcentral.